GUCUAUGGCCAUUCCAUUCCAAAUGCAUCUAGAUCCCAUUUGAUCUCAGAAGUUAAGACACGUUGGCCCGGUUCGUAUUUGGAUAGGAGACAUUUCCUAUAAGCUCCAGUUGGACA
RNAcentral lists this ribosomal RNA (116 nucleotides) under Nannospalax galili (Upper Galilee mountains blind mole rat). The record is from RNAcentral. Lineage: Eukaryota; Metazoa; Chordata; Mammalia; Rodentia; Spalacidae.